RNAcentral lists this ribosomal RNA (1440 nucleotides) under uncultured organism. Its description in RNAcentral is "SSU rRNA". It matches the Rfam family "Bacterial small subunit ribosomal RNA". The record is from RNAcentral.
GCUCAGGAUGAACGCUAGCUACAGGCUUAACACAUGCAAGUCGAGGGGCAGCAUGGUCUUAGCUUGCUAAGGCCGAUGGCGACCGGCGCACGGGUGAGUAACGCGUAUCCAACCUGCCUUACACUCUUGGACAGCCUUCUGAAAGGGAGAUUAAUACAAGAUGUUAUCAUGAGUAAGCAUUUUCGCAUGAUUAAAGGUUUACCGGUGUAAGAUGGGGAUGCGUUCCAUUAGAUAGUAGGCGGGGUAACGGCCCACCUAGUCUUCGAUGGAUAGGGGUUCUGAGAGGAAGGUCCCCCACAUUGGAACUGAGACACGGUCCAAACUCCUACGGGAGGCAGCAGUGAGGAAUAUUGGUCAAUGGACGAGAGUCUGAACCAGCCAAGUAGCGUGAAGGAUGAAGGUUCUAUGGAUUGUAAACUUCUUUUAUACGGGAAUAAACGGAUCCACGUGUGGAUUUUUGCAUGUACCGUAUGAAUAAGGAUCGGCUAACUCCGUGCCAGCAGCCGCGGUAAUACGGAGGAUCCGAGCGUUAUCCGGAUUUAUUGGGUUUAAAGGGAGCGUAGAUGGGUUGUUAAGUCAGUUGUGAAAGUUUGCGGCUCAACCGUAAAAUUGCAAUUGAUACUGGCAGUCUUGAGUACAGUUGAGGUAGGCGGAAUUCGUGGUGUAGCGGUGAAAUGCUUAGAUAUCACGAAGAACUCCGAUUGCGAAGGCAGCUUACUAACCUGUAACUGACAUUGAUGCUCGAAAGUGUGGGUAUCAAACAGGAUUAGAUACCCUGGUAGUCCACACGGUAAACGAUGAAUACUCGCUGUAGGCGAUAUACAGUCUGCGGCCAAGCGAAAGCAUUAAGUAUUCCACCUGGGGAGUACGCCGGCAACGGUGAAACUCAAAGGAAUUGACGGGGGCCCGCACAAGCGGAGGAACAUGUGGUUUAAUUCGAUGAUACGCGAGGAACCUUACCCGGGCUUAAAUUGCAACCGAAUAUGGCGGAAACGCUAUAGCUAGCAAUAGCGGUUGUGAAGGUGCUGCAUGGUUGUCGUCAGCUCGUGCCGUGAGGUGUCGGCUUAAGUGCCAUAACGAGCGCAACCCUUGCCGAUAGUUACUAACAGGUUAUGCUGAGGACUCUGUCGGGACUGCCAUCGUAAGAUGUGAGGAAGGUGGGGAUGACGUCAAAUCAGCACGGCCCUUACGUCCGGGGCUACACACGUGUUACAAUAGGGGGUACAGAGGGCUGCUACCACGCAAGUGGAUGCCAAUCCCAAAAACCUCUCUCAGUUCGGAUUGAAGUCUGCAACCCGACUUCAUGAAGCUGGAUUCGCUAGUAAUCGCGCAUCAGCCACGGCGCGGUGAAUACGUUCCCGGGCCUUGUACACACCGCCCGUCAAGCCAUGGGAGCCGGGGGUACCUGAAGUGCGUAACCGCAAGGAGCGCCCUAGGGUA